GGGGAAUUAGCUCGGUUGGUAGAGCGCACGCUUUGCAUGCGAGAGGUACCGGGAUCGAUACCCGUAUUCUCCA
Molecule: non-coding RNA, 73 nt
Organism: Octopus bimaculoides (California two-spot octopus)
Lineage: Eukaryota; Metazoa; Mollusca; Cephalopoda; Octopoda; Octopodidae
Source: Rfam